CGGACUGGUGAGUAACGCGUGAGGAACCUGCCUUCCAGAGGGGGACAACAGUUGGAAACGACUGCUAAUACCGCAUAACGUGCAGCCGGGGCAUCCCGGAGGCACCAAAGAUUUUAUCGCUGGAAGAUGGCCUCGCGUCUGAUUAGCUAGUUGGUGGGGUAACGGCCCACCAAGGCGACGAUCAGUAGCCGGACUGAGAGGUUGGCCGGCCACAUUGGGACUGAGACACGGACCAAACUCCUACGGAAGGCAGCAG
Molecule: ribosomal RNA, 256 nt
Filed under: uncultured bacterium
Lineage: Bacteria
Description: partial 16S ribosomal RNA
Rfam family: Bacterial small subunit ribosomal RNA
Source: RNAcentral